Molecule: ribosomal RNA, 765 nt
Filed under: Stereocaulon nivale
Lineage: Eukaryota; Fungi; Ascomycota; Lecanoromycetes; Lecanorales; Stereocaulaceae
Description: SSU rRNA
Rfam family: Bacterial small subunit ribosomal RNA
Source: RNAcentral
AUAGCUGAUUGCACCAACUAAUAGUUGAUGCAAGAUUGAUUUUGUCAAAUAAAAUUCUGGGUAGAAUUAUGAUAAUGACAUAAUCUAUCUAAGUCUUGACCAAAUUGCGUGCCAGCAGUCGCGGUAAUACGUAUAAGACUAGUGUUAUUCAUCUUUAAUAGGUUUAAAGGGUACUUAGACGGUAGAUAAAGCCUUACCAGGAACUAAUUUACUAGAGUUACUUACGAGGGGGUAUUAAAGUACUGCAGGUGUAGAGAUGAAAUUCUGUCAUACCUCUUUUCGAAGGAAAAACUAUGGCACAGGUAUAGGUGAAAACAUCCCCUUAUGUGAUAACUGACGUUGAAGGACGAAGGCUUUGUGUCGCGAACAGGAUUAGAUACCCUAGUAGUCAAAGCAGAAAAUGAUGAAUGUCAUAGAUUAGAUAAAUAGUUUAUUCUAUAAAUGAAAAUGUAAGCAUUCCACCUCAAGAGUAAUUUGGCAACAUUGGAACUGAAAUCAUUAGACCGUUUCUGAAACCAGUAGUGAAGUAUGUUAUUUAAUUUGAUAAUCCGCAAAAAACCUUACCACGAUUUGAAUGUUUAUAUUUAUCUUUUUUUUUCGUAAAAACAUGAAAUAAGGUAAUAUAUUCACAAGUGUUGCACGGCUGUCUUCAGUUAAUGUCGUGAGACUUUGGUUAGUUCCAUUAAAUUAACGUAAACCCUUAUUUUAUUUUUAUAUAAAGUAGUUCUCCACUAUAUUGGAUUUGAUAACAGGGACUAAGACAAG